CCUACGGGAGGCAGCAGUGAGGAAUAUUGGUCAAUGGACGCAAGGCUGAACCAGCCAUGCCGCGUGCAGGAAGACGGCUCUAUGAGUUGUAAACUGCUUUUGUACGAGGGUAAACGCAGAUACGUGUAUCUGUCUGAAAGUAUCGUACGAAUAAGGAUCGGCUAACUCCGUGCCAGCAGCCGCGGUAAUACGGAGGAUUCAAGCGUUAUCCGGAUUUAUUGGGUUUAAAGGGUGCGUAGGCGGUCGGAUAAGUUAGAGGUGAAAUCCCGAGGCCCAACUUCGGAAUUGCCUCUGAUACUGUUCGGCUAGAGAGUAGUUGCGGUAGGCGGAAUGUAUGGUGUAGCGGUGAAAUGCUUAGAGAUCAUACAGAACACCGAUUGCGAAGGCAGCUUACCAAGCUACUUCUGACGUUGAGGCACGAAAGCGUGGGGAGCAAACAGGAUUAGAUACCCGAGUAGUC
RNAcentral lists this ribosomal RNA (460 nucleotides) under uncultured bacterium. RNAcentral describes it as "partial 16S ribosomal RNA". It matches the Rfam family "Bacterial small subunit ribosomal RNA", at positions 338 to 795 of the family's 1533-position model. The record is from RNAcentral.